Molecule: non-coding RNA, 171 nt
Organism: Gossypium hirsutum (cotton)
Lineage: Eukaryota; Viridiplantae; Streptophyta; Magnoliopsida; Malvales; Malvaceae
Source: Rfam
AAUAGAAGAAUGACAAAUAAAAUUUUUCCUCCUGAUUUUUAACUUUUUCCUAUUGAAAAAAAUUCAAAUCCAAUUAAAAAUCCAAAAAAUCAAGAGAACUGGAUUUGAAUUUUUUCAGUAGGAAAAAGUUGAAAAUCAAGAGAAAAAAAUCUAAUUUGUCAUUCUCCUAUU